This 274-nucleotide ribosomal RNA is filed under the name uncultured bacterium. RNAcentral's name for it is "partial 16S ribosomal RNA". It matches the Rfam family "Bacterial small subunit ribosomal RNA", at positions 523 to 796 of the family's 1533-position model. The record is from RNAcentral.
AUACAGGGGGUGCGAGCGUUGCUCGGAAUCACUGGGCGUAAAGCGGGUGUAGGCGGUCUAGCAAGUCAGAUGUGAAAGCCCACGGCUCAACCGUGGAAGUGCAUCUGAAACUGCUAGACUUGAGUGCCGGAGAGGGAAGUGGAAUUCCUGGUGUAGGGGUGAAAUCCGUAGAUAUCAGGAGGAACACCGGUGGCGAAGGCGACUUCCUGGACGGCCACUGACGCUGAGACCCGAAAGCGUGGGGAGCAAACAGGAUUAGAAACCCUAGUAGUCC